Molecule: transfer RNA, 85 nt
Filed under: Felis catus (domestic cat)
Lineage: Eukaryota; Metazoa; Chordata; Mammalia; Carnivora; Felidae
Rfam family: tRNA
About the family: Transfer RNA (tRNA) molecules are approximately 80 nucleotides in length. Their secondary structure includes four short double-helical elements and three loops (D, anti-codon, and T loops). Further hydrogen bonds mediate the characteristic L-shaped molecular structure. tRNAs have two regions of fundamental functional importance: the anti-codon, which is responsible for specific mRNA codon recognition, and the 3' end, to which the tRNAs corresponding amino acid is attached (by aminoacyl-tRNA synthetases). tRNAs cope with the degeneracy of the genetic code in two manners: having more than one tRNA (with a specific anti-codon) for a particular amino acid; and 'wobble' base-pairing, i.e. permitting non-standard base-pairing at the 3rd anti-codon position.
Source: Rfam by way of RNAcentral
GCCUGGGUGGCUCAGUCGGUUAAGCACCCGACUUCAACUCAGGUCAUGAUCUCAUGGUAUGUGGGUUCGAGCCCUGCGUCGGGCU